Molecule: long non-coding RNA, 694 nt
Organism: Dreissena polymorpha
Lineage: Eukaryota; Metazoa; Mollusca; Bivalvia; Myida; Dreissenidae
Exons: 5
Source: RefSeq, a predicted model, not a curated record
CACAAAAUAUACACAAAUCUUGACUAAAUUACAAUCGAGUGUGUAUCCAGGCUAAUAACAGUUCCCCGGUUGCGCUGUUUAAAAAGCAUACACUCGGUAUUUAUAUCAUUUAGUGAAAGUAAGUUGGAAAAAUGGAGUUUCGAGCGAACAAACGCAUUAAACUAAGUAGCCAAAAGGGUCCAAGUCCCCUUGAUCUCGCAAGAACGUACUGCCAGAAUUACGUUGAUCCACCAGGUUUUGAAGUAAAAACCGUCAAUGAUGUCAUAGGCGAAGGAGUCUUCGCCACUAAGCCUUUUAAAAAACGGAGACUCUCUUCUCGAAUACAAAGGGGAUCUGAUAACACGAGCAAAACGGCAAUUAGAAAAGGAGUAUGAAAAGGAGGGUCAUGACAGCUUCAUUUACUUUUUUAAAUACAGAGACAAAUCUUGAUGCAUUGACGCUACCAACGAUAUAUUUCAUGAGGGUCAAAUGAUAAAUGAUGCCGAAAAUGGAGACGCAAAACAAAUUUGUGUAAUGAAAAUAGUUGAAGUCAACCAAACUCCCCACCUAUGCACUUUCGCCGACAGAGACAUUGCAAUUGGCGAGGAACUCCGAUAUGAUUAUGGAGUACCAACACUUCCAUGGAGAAAGGCAACACAAUGGCUACUAGAUCUACGGACAGCCAGGAACCAGGACAAACAACAUCCAUACACAC